AUUGAACGCUGGCGGCAUGCCUAACACAUGCAAGUCGAGCGGAUGAAGGGAGCUUUCUCCUGGAUUCAGCGGCGGACGGGUGAGUAAUGCCCAGGAAUCUGCCUGGUAGUGGGGGAUAACGUCCGGAAACGGGCGCUAAUACCGCAUACGUCCUGAGGGAGAAAGUGGGGGAUCUUCGGACCUCACGCUAUCAGAUGAGCCUAGGUCGGAUUAGCUAGUUGGUGGGGUAAAGGCCUACCAAGGCGACGAUCCGUAACUGGUCUGAGAGGAUGAUCAGUCACACUGGAACUGAGACACGGUCCAGACUCCUACGGGAGGCAGCAGUGGGGAAUAUUGGGCAAUGGGCGAAAGCCUGAUCCAGCCAUGCCGCGUGUGUGAAGAAGGUCUUCGGAUUGUAAAGCACUUUAAGUUGGGAGGAAGGGCAGUAAGUUAAUACCUUGCUGUUUUGACGUUACCAACAGAAUAAGCACCGGCUAACUUCGUG
RNAcentral lists this ribosomal RNA (484 nucleotides) under uncultured bacterium. RNAcentral describes it as "partial 16S ribosomal RNA". It matches the Rfam family "Bacterial small subunit ribosomal RNA", at positions 30 to 507 of the family's 1533-position model. The record is from RNAcentral.